CCAAUAGCGUAUAUUAAAGUUGUUGCAGUUAAAAAGCUCGUAGUUGAAUUUCGGGGUUAGUAGGUUGGUCAUGCCUCUGGUAUGUACUGGUCUCACUGAUUCCUCCUUCCUGAUGAACCUUAAUGCCAUUAAUUUGGUGUUUUGGGGAAUUUGGACUGUUACUUUGAAAAAAUUAGAGUGUUUAAAGCAAGCUAACGCUUGAAUACAUUAGCAUGGAAUAAUGAAAUAGGACGUUCGAUCCUAUUUUGUUGGUUUCUAGGAUUGACGUAAUGAUUAAUAGGGAUAGUUGGGGGCAUAAGUAUUCAAUUGUCAGAGGUGAAAUUCUUGGAUUUAUUGAAGACUAACUACUGCGAAAGCAUUUGCCAAGGAUGUUUUCAUUAAUCAAGAACGAAAGUUAGGGGAUCGAAGACGAUCAGAUACCGUCGUAGUCUUAACCAUAAACUAUGCCGACUAGGGAUCGGAUGAUGUUAAUUUUUUAAUGACUCAUUCGGCGCCUUACG
Molecule: ribosomal RNA, 500 nt
Filed under: uncultured Glomeromycotina
Lineage: Eukaryota; Fungi; Glomeromycota
Description: partial small subunit ribosomal RNA
Rfam family: Eukaryotic small subunit ribosomal RNA
Source: RNAcentral